GUGGGGAUGACGUCAAGUCAUCAUGGCCCUUACGGCCUGGGCUACACACGUGCUACAAUGGUCGGUACAAAGGGUUGCCAAGCCGCGAGGUGGAGCUAAUCCCAUAAAACCGAUCGUAGUCCGGAUCGCAGUCUGCAACUCGACUGCGUGAAGUCGGAAUCGCUAGUAAUCGUGAAUCAGAAUGUCACGGUGAAUACGUUCCCGGGCCUU
This 210-nucleotide ribosomal RNA is filed under the name uncultured Pseudomonas sp. RNAcentral describes it as "partial 16S ribosomal RNA". It matches the Rfam family "Bacterial small subunit ribosomal RNA", at positions 1173 to 1382 of the family's 1533-position model. The record is from RNAcentral. Lineage: Bacteria; Pseudomonadati; Pseudomonadota; Gammaproteobacteria; Pseudomonadales; Pseudomonadaceae.